GUUUCUAGACGAAGGUCAUAUACCAGUUAAAUUCCGCCAUUUUGCCUCUCAGUGUUCAUGCUUGAGCCUAUGCGUCCAACUCCUGAGAUCUUAUUGGGAAGCUGCUGAUCAUCAGUUUCAGAUAAGAGAGGGUUGAAGAUCCGAGAGGCUGAGUUACUUCCACAAAGUAACACGGCUGAUUUUAAAUGCCUGCAUUCAGCAUCCCUGCAGCAGGCUCCAGGUGGAAUUCUAAUGGGACCAGCCUCCAGUCCCUGGACCUUAGCCGUGGAAGGAGAGAAGAGGACAUCUGCACCUCCUCUCAGAGAAAGCCUGAUGCCUACUAAAGGACUUGGGGGGUGGACGCAGUGACCCUCAGUCUGGAGCUUGUUCACUGAACAUUGGAGACUAUCAUUUGCGCAGGUGGUCUUGGGCCUUUAUGAGCAGUAGGCUGCACCCCACCGUGACCUCCUCAUUCCACUCUGAGGCAUCUUCAUGAAAGCAGAUAUCCUUUGAAAAGCACCCAAGUGCAGUCUCAGCUGAUGAACUUCAGAGACAAUUAAGACAAAGGCUCUCGGUCCCAUCUGCCCUUGGGUGGUGCCUCUGGUAUGCACUUGGCCCGGUGUCUUUAUUUAGACUGAUCACUUCACAACCCAUCAUGUCACCCCACCCCUAACCGUGCUCACUCUGGGUCCUCCCCUCAACUGCCUGACUUCCCACUUUUAGCUCUGCAAAGACA
Molecule: long non-coding RNA, 715 nt
Organism: Pongo pygmaeus (Bornean orangutan)
Lineage: Eukaryota; Metazoa; Chordata; Mammalia; Primates; Hominidae
Exons: 3
Source: RefSeq, a predicted model, not a curated record